RNAcentral lists this long non-coding RNA (283 nucleotides) under Setaria viridis. RNAcentral describes it as "long non-coding RNA (SVIR_LNC008002)". Lineage: Eukaryota; Viridiplantae; Streptophyta; Magnoliopsida; Poales; Poaceae. The record is from RNAcentral.
UCAUGUCCACCCUUCACAGCCCUAGUACAUCACCUUUCACGCUUGACCUUCACCUCAUGCCGUCGACUGCCAUGUCACAUCCUGCACCUGCACAUUACAAGCCAAGAGACACAACACACAAGAUAUGUUUUGUACAAACACCACAACACAACACAUUCGGUUAGCCGUUAGCAUAAUCAAGCAUAUAUGGAAUAUGGACUCAACUGGUAAAGCCUCAAAUCAUUAGUCAAUCACUCAUCACAAAUAGAUCAAGACACUUCUCAACUUGGUCUCUCAAUCUCCC